RNAcentral lists this ribosomal RNA (492 nucleotides) under uncultured bacterium. RNAcentral describes it as "partial 16S ribosomal RNA". It matches the Rfam family "Bacterial small subunit ribosomal RNA", at positions 29 to 507 of the family's 1533-position model. The record is from RNAcentral.
AGUGAACGCUGGCGGUAGGCCUAACACAUGCAAGUCGAACGGCAGCACAGUAAGAGCUUGCUCUUACGGGUGGCGAGUGGCGGACGGGUGAGGAAUACAUCGGAAUCUACUUUUUCGUGGGGGAUAACGUAGGGAAACUUACGCUAAUACCGCAUACGACCUACGGGUGAAAGCAGCGGAUCUUCGGACCUUGCGCGAUUGAAUGAGCCGAUGUCGGAUUAGCUAGUUGGCGGGGUAAAGGCCCACCAAGGCGACGAUCCGUAGCUGGUCUGAGAGGAUGAUCAGCCACACUGGAACUGAGACACGGUCCAGACUCCUACGGGAGGCAGCAGUGGGGAAUAUUGGACAAUGGGCGCAAGCCUGAUCCAGCCAUACCGCGUGGGUGAAGAAGGCCUUCGGGUUGUAAAGCCCUUUUGUUGGAAAAGAAAAGCAGCAGGUUAAUACCCCGCUGUUCUGACGGUACCCAAAGAAUAAGCACCGGCUAACUUCGUG